Molecule: transfer RNA, 85 nt
Filed under: Felis catus (domestic cat)
Lineage: Eukaryota; Metazoa; Chordata; Mammalia; Carnivora; Felidae
Rfam family: tRNA
About the family: Transfer RNA (tRNA) molecules are approximately 80 nucleotides in length. Their secondary structure includes four short double-helical elements and three loops (D, anti-codon, and T loops).
Source: Rfam by way of RNAcentral
GCCUGGGUGGCUCAGUGGGUUGAGCAUCCGACUUCAGCUCAGGUCAUGAUCUCGCGGUCUGUGGGUUCGAGCCCCGUGUCGGGCU